This 947-nucleotide ribosomal RNA is filed under the name uncultured archaeon. RNAcentral's name for it is "bacterial SSU rRNA". It matches the Rfam family "Archaeal small subunit ribosomal RNA", at positions 1 to 924 of the family's 1478-position model. The record is from RNAcentral.
CCCUUUUCCGGUUGAUCCCGCCGGACCCCACUGCUAUCGAGGUGGGACUAAGCCAUGCUAGUCGAACGACCAGAACUAUGUCUGGAAGUGGCAUACUGCUCAGUAACACGUAGCUAACCUACCCUUAGGACGGAGAUAACCCCGGGAAACUGGGGCUAAUAAACGAUAGGUGUGAUGUCCUGGAAUGGUAUCACGCCCAAAGGUGAUAACAGCAUGUUGUUAUCAUGCCUAAGGAUGGGGCUGCGGCCGAUCAGGCUGUUGGUGAGGUAACGGCUCACCAAACCUUUGACCGGUACGGGCCAUGAGAGUGGUAGCCCGGAGAUGGGCACUGAGACAAGGGCCCAGGCCCUACGGGGCGCAGCAGGCGCGAAACCUCCUCAAUGCACUAAAGUGCGAAGGGGUUACCUCGAGUGCUAUCUGAAGAAGGUGGCUUUUACAUUGUCUAAUCAGCUAUGUGAAUAAGAGGGGGGCAAGACUGGUGUCAGCCGCCGCGGUAACACCAGCCCCUCGAGUGGUGGGGAUGAUUAUUUGGCCUAAAGCGUCCGUAGCCGGCCAUGUAAGUCUCCCGUUAAAUCCAGCGUCCCAAGCGUCGGACUGCGGGAGAUACUGUAUGGCUAGAGGGUGGGAGAGGUCAGCGGUAUUCUGGGGGUAGGGGCGAAAUCCUUUGAUCCCCGGAGGACCACCAGUGGCGAAGGCUGCUGACUAGAACACGCCUGACGGUCAGGGACGAAAGCUGGGGUAGCGAACCGGAUUAGAUACCCGGGUAAUCCCAGCCGUAAACGAUGCAUGCUGGGUGUUGGGUCGGCCACGAGCCGCCCCAGUGCCGCAGGGAAGCCGUUAAGCAUGCCGCCUGGGGAGUACGGCCGCAAGGCUGAAACUUAAAGGAAUUGGCGGGGGAGCACCACCAGGCGUGAAGCCUGCGGUUUAAUUGGAUUCAACGCCGGGAA